CUACGGGACGCUGCAGUCGAGAAUUUUUCACAAUGGGGGAAACCCUGAUGGAGCGACGCCGCGUGGAGGAUGAAGGUUUUCGGAUUGUAAACUCCUGUCAAAUGGGAACAAGAAAGUGAUAGUACCAUUAGAGGAAGAGACGGCUAACUCUGUGCCAGCAGCCGCGGUAAUACAGAGGUCUCAAGCGUUGUUCGGAUUCAUUGGGCGUAAAGGGUGCGCAGGCUGUGGGGUAAGUCGGAUGUGAAAUUUAGGGGCUCAACCUCUAAACUGCAUUCGAUACUGCUCCGCUAGAGGUAUGUAGAGGAGAUUGGAAUUCACGGUGUAGCAGUGAAAUGCGUAGAUAUCGUGAGGAAGACCAGUGGCGAAGGCGAAUCUCUGGGCAUUACCUGACGCUCAUGCACGAAGGCCAGGGGAGCAAACGGGAUUAGAUACCCCCGUAGUC
RNAcentral lists this ribosomal RNA (442 nucleotides) under uncultured bacterium. RNAcentral describes it as "partial 16S ribosomal RNA". It matches the Rfam family "Bacterial small subunit ribosomal RNA", at positions 339 to 795 of the family's 1533-position model. The record is from RNAcentral.